RNAcentral lists this transfer RNA (67 nucleotides) under Mytilisepta virgata. RNAcentral describes it as "tRNA-Thr". The record is from RNAcentral. Lineage: Eukaryota; Metazoa; Mollusca; Bivalvia; Mytilida; Mytilidae.
AGUAUUACUUCGGUGUUUGUUGCUUACGUAGUAAAAUUAUUAUUUAAGUCUUGUAAACUUAAGUUUC